CGAGUUUGAUUAUGGCUCAGAUUGAACGCUGGCGGGAUGUUUAUACAUGCAAGUCGAACGGCAGCACGGACUUCGGUCUGGUAUAUGAGCGGCGAACGGGUGAGUAAUGUAUCGGAACGCCUAGUAGCGGGGGAUAACUACGCGAAAGCGUAGCUAAUACCGCAUACGCCCUUCGGGGAAAGCGGGGGACCUUCGGCCUCGCACUAUUAGAGCGGCCGAUAUCGGAUUAGCUAGUUGGUGGGGUAACGGCUCACCAAGGCGACGAUCCGUAGCUGGUUUGGAGAGGACGACCAGCCACACUGGGACUGAGACACGGCCCAGACUCCUACGGAGGCAGCAGUGGGAAUUUUGACAAUGGGGGGAAACCCCGAUCCAGCCAUCCGCGUGUGCGAUGAAGGCCUUCGGGGUUGUAAAGCACUCUUUGCGUGAAAGAAACGGCACGGGAUAAUACCCCGUGCAACUGACGGUACCUUGCAGAAUAAGCACCGGCUAACUACGUGCCAGCAGUCAGUGGUAUUUGUAGGGUGCAAGCGUUAAUCGGAAUUACUGGGCGUAAAGCGUGCGCAGGCGGUUCGGAAAGAAAGAUGUGAACCAGAGCUUAACUUUGGAACCGCAUUUUUAACUACCGAGCUAGAGUGUGUCAGAGGGAGGUGGAAUUCGCGUAGCAGUGAAAUGCGUAGAUAUGCGGAGGAACACCGAUGGCGAAGGCAGCCUCCCGAUAAUUGACGCUCAUGCACGAAAGCGUGGGGAGUAAAAUACAGUAUUAGAUACUCCCGUAGUCACGCCUUAAACGAUGUCAACUUAGUUGUUGGGCCUUCGGCCUUGGUAGCGCAGCUAACGCGUGAAGUUGACCGCCUGGGGAGUACGGUCGCAAGAUUAAACUCAAAGGAAUUGACGGGGAAUUCCGCACAAGCGGUGAUGAUGUGGAUUAAUUCGAUGCAACGCGAAAACCUUACCUACCCCUUGACAUGUCUGGAAUCCCGAAGAGAUUUGGGAGUGCUCGCAAGAGAACCGGAACACAGGUGCUGCAUGGCUGGGUUGUCAGCUCGUGUCGUGAGAUGCUGGGUUAAGUCCCGCAACGAGCGUAAACUCCUUGUCAUUAGUUGCUACAGCUAAGCACUCUAAUGAGACUGCCGGUGACAAACCGGAGGAAGGUGGGGAUGACGUCAAGUCCUCAUGGCCCUUAUGGGUAGGGCUUCACACGUCAUACAAUGGUCGGGACAGAGGGUCGCCAACCCGCGAGGGGGAGCCAAUCCCAGAACCCGAUCGUAGUCCGGAUCGCAGUCUGUAACUCGACUGCGUGAAGUCGGAAUCGCUAGUAAUCGCGGAUCGCAUGUCGCGGUGAAUACGUUCCUGGGUCUUGUACACACCGCCCGUCACACCAUGGGGAGUGGGUUUUUACCAGAAGUAGUUAGCCUAACCGUAAGGAGGGCGAUUACCACUGUAGGAUUCAUGACUGGGUGAAGUCGUAACAAGGUAA
RNAcentral lists this ribosomal RNA (1480 nucleotides) under uncultured Bordetella sp. RNAcentral describes it as "partial 16S-23S ribosomal RNA intergenic spacer". It matches the Rfam family "Bacterial small subunit ribosomal RNA". Lineage: Bacteria; Pseudomonadati; Pseudomonadota; Betaproteobacteria; Burkholderiales; Alcaligenaceae. The record is from RNAcentral.